AAGAAAGAAGGGAUACUGGUCUGUAGUUGUUGACAUCGGAGGGAUCGAGUGUAGGUUUUUUCAGAAGGGGUGCAACUCUCGCUCUCUUGAAGACGGAAGGGACGUAGCCAGCGGUCAAGGAUGAGUUGAUGAGCGAGGAUUAAGGAGGGAGGAGAAGGUAGCAAAGAGCUUCCUAGGGUUAGAGGCAGAUGCAUAUAUCAGCUCAAUUGGAAAUGACCUUUUUUUAUUUUUUUUUUAUUUUUUUUCAAUCACCCAAUCUGUACCGCUUCAGCCACCCAGACUGAAUGGAACCAUUACUGUAGAAGUCAUACAUUUACAUUUUAGUCAUUUAGCAGACGCUCUUAUCCAGAGCGACUUACAGUAGUGAGUACAUACAUUUCAUACUUAUUUUUAUUUUUAUUUUUUCCCCCCGUACUGGUCCCCCGUGGCAAUCGAACCCACAACCCUGGCGUUGCAAACACCAUGCUCUACCAACUGAGUCAUGUGUGAACCACUGCUGAUUAUACAGUACUAGAGGACGUUCCAUAACCAUGUACACUUAGUCAAUGUAUCUGUUGCUCUCCACUAUGGAUGGAUUCAUGGUUACUGUUUCCAGACCUGUAGAUAGAUAGUGUAAAGUAGCUCUGGUGUGUUGGUACUGUAAGUGUUUUGAACUGUUUCCAGACCUGUAGAUAGAUAGUGUAAAGAAGCUCUGGUGUUGGUAUUGUGAAGUGUUUUGAACUGUUUCCAGACCUGUAGCUUGUGCUUUUUACAAACUAAUGGGGUUAUUCUACACUGUUGGUAUGAUUAUUUACUCAUCUGAUUUUAAUUGUCUCGUAUUAAAUCAGUGCCUUUUUAUCCCAGCAUAGUUUGUUGUGUAUUUUGUAACGCCAUAAGAUUUAAUAUAAUACCUCCAUUUUAGAUGAAGUCCUUCUAUGGUUGUGUGGUCUGUUGGGUGGUUUUGGCUCUACUUUUGUCAUGGUAAACCAUGUUUACUUAGGUGGAGUAGAUCCAUCCUAUCAGAGCCUUCUUUCAGCACUUUAUUUUAAAGAUAUCUGGGGAAUUAAUUUCACAGAACUAGAAGAGAUUGUCUACGUUUUAUAUUCAUCAACUUCUUUGACAAUACUAAUAAAUAUUAAAUAAGUGUUUUUAAUUAUCUCGUCUCCUUUUAUUACAGCUAAGGUAUUAUUGCAAAGCAGUCCUUCUAAAUCUCGUUUAGCUGUAGCGAAAGUACCAAAGCCCAUGCAAAGCCCAACUCCUAGCAGGUCUGUUCUUCAACCACUAGAUGGCAGACAUUUCAUUGUUUUUCUGAGUCUGAGAGGUGAGGUUUGUUAGUACGCCACAGUAAAAGCCACAUACCGUAACUUCCCAAAGAGUAGUAAAUUACAAC
This 1369-nucleotide long non-coding RNA is filed under the name Salmo salar (Atlantic salmon). RNAcentral describes it as "lncRNA (ENSSSAG00000114318.1)". The record is from RNAcentral. Lineage: Eukaryota; Metazoa; Chordata; Actinopteri; Salmoniformes; Salmonidae.